GCCGUGGACGAGCUGCUGGUGGCCGCGGGGGUGCCCCUGGAGCUCCGGGAGGGUGACCUGGGCUCGGUGACGGUGACGGUGCCCUGGGCCGCGCUGGGCUCCGAACCCCUGCGGCUGCGGCUGCGGCGGCUGCGCCUCGUGCUGCAGCCCCGUGAGUGCCCGGGACCCCCGGGACCCCUGACACCCCCGGGACACCCACGGGACACCCCCGGGACACCCCCGGGACACCCCCGGGACACCCGGGACACACCUGAGGACACCCCCGGGACACCCCCUGACCCACCCAGUGUCACCCUGACCCCUGGGACCCCCUGACAGCCCCCGACCCACCCGGUAUCACCUUGACCCCCUCAGUGACCCCCUCCUGUGACACCCCCUUUCCCCCCCAUGACCCCUCCUGACCCACCCCAUGUCACUCUGACCCCCCCUGACACCCCCGGGACACCCCCUGACCCACCCGGUGUCACCCUGACCCCCUCAGUGACCCCCUGUGACCCCCCUGUGACCCCCCUGUCCUCCCCCAGGCCCGCCGGGGUCACCGGGGUCACCGGGGUCACCCCCCCCGGGGGGGGGGUCGGAGCAGGGCCGGGACCCCCCCCAGGAGGAGCCGCUGGAGGGGCUGGAGGCGCUGGCAGCGGGCAUCGAGGCAGUGCUGCGGCGGCUGCAGGUGCACCUGGAGGACACGGAGCUGCGCCUGGAGCUGCCCCCGCAGCCCGGGGGGGGGCCUGGGGGGGGCCCUGGAGCUGCACCUGCCCAGGUGAGGGGCUCAGGUGUGUCCAGGUGUGUCCCAGGUGUGUCCCGGGUGUGUCCCCAGGUGUGUCCCAGGUGUGUCCCAGGUGUGUCCCGGGUGUGUCCUGGGCGUGUCCUGGGUGUACCCAGGUGUGUCCCCGGGUGUGUCCCCGGGUGUGUGCCCAGGUGUGUGCCCAGGUGUGUCCCCAGGUGUGUCCAGGUGUGUCCUGGGUGGGUCCUGGGUGGGUCCUGGGUGUCCCCAGGUGUGUCCCCAGGUGUGUCCCCAGGUGUGUCCCAGGUGUGUCCCCAGGUGUGUCCCAGGUGUGUCCCAGGUGUGUCCCCAGGUGUGUCCCAGGUGUGUCCCCAGGUGUGUCCCAGGUGUGUCCCCAGGUGUCCCAGGUGUCCCCAGGUGUGUCCCAGCUGUCCCCAGGUGUCCCAGGUGUGUCCCAGGUGUGUCCCAGGUGUGUCCCAGGUGUGUUGCAGGUGUCCCAGGUGUGUCCCCAGGUGUCUGGGGUGUCUCAGGUGUGUCCCAGGUGUCCCCAGGUGUGUCCCAGGUGUGUCUCAGGUGUGGCUGUCCCCAGGGUGGAGUACGAGGACGUGGGGGAGGGUCCCGGCCCCUCCCCCGUGCUGCAGAAGCGGCUGCGGCUGCACGACCUGCGGCUGCUGUGGGUGGAGCCGGCCCCACCUGGCCAGCAGGUACGUGUCACCUGUGGCACCUGUGUGUGUCACCUGUGUGUGUCACCUGUCACACCUGUGUGUCCCUGUGUCAUCUGUCUCACCUGUGUCACACCCAUGUCCCACCUGUCUCACUUGUCCCACCUGUCUCACCUGUCCCACCUGUCUCACCUGUGUCUCACCUGUCUUACCUGUCUCUCACCCGUCUGUCACCCGUGUCUUGCCUGUGUCCCACCUGUCCCACCUAUACCUCACCUGUCUCACCCAUAUCUCACCUGUAUCUCACCCGUGUCCCACCCGUGUCCCACCCGUGUCCCACCUGUCAUACCUGUCCCACCUGUCCCACCUGUGUCUCACCUGUAUCUCAUCUGUAUCUCACCUGUAUCUCACCUGUGUCUCACCUGUAUCUCACCUGUAUCUCACCUGUCUCUCACCUGUCCCACCUGUACCUGUAUCUCACGUGUCUCUCUCACCUGUAUCUUACCUGUCUCUCACCUGUAUCUCACCUGUAUCUCACCUGUAUCUCACCUGUCUCACGUGUAUCUCACCUGUCUCACCUGUCUCACCCGUGUCCCACCUGUCCUACCUGUCUCACACCUGUCCCACCUGUGUCCCACCUGUAUCUCACCUGUCUCUCUCUCACCUGUCCCACCUGUACCUGUAUCUCACCUGUCCCACCUGUCUCUCUGUCACCUGUGUCUCACCUGUCCCACCUGUACUUGUAUCUCACCUGUACCUGUAUAUCACCUGUACCUGUAUCUCACCUGUAUCUCACCUGUCCCACCCGUGUCUCUCUGCCCGCAGCGCUGCAGUUCCCCCGCCGCCCAUCUGGGGGCGCUGCUCCCGGGCCCUGCGGAGCUGCGGCUGCGCCUGAGGCGGAGCGAGAGAGCGGCGGGGCCGGCGGUGGAGCUGGAGGCCACCGUGGGGUCCCUGCACCUGCUGCUGCCCCCCCCCCUGUUGGGGGUCCUGCGGGGGGCCCUGGACCCCCCCGGUGAGAGCCCCUCCCCCCCCCGGCACCCCAAACCCGGCGGGACCCCAAACCUGGGGGGGGGGGGGAGGGGCUGGGGGGGGUUGGGGGUCUCCUGGACCCCCGAAUCCUCUGGGGGGCAGUGGGGUAUUUUGGGGGGGGUUUGGGGGGCUUUGAGUUAUUUUGGGGUGUUUCUGAGGCGCUCCGUGCCGGUUUUGGGAUGUUUUCGGGCUGUUUUGGGGCGCUGUGUGUGAUUUUGGCAGAUUUUGGGGUGCUCUGUGUUAUUUUUAAGAUAUUUUGGGAUAUUUUGGGGCAGUGUGUGUUAUUUUGGGGUGCUCUGUGUUAUUUUUGGGAUAUUUUGGGGUGCUGUAUGUUAUUUUUAAGAUAUUUUGGGAUAUUUUGGGGCAGUGUGUGUUUUUCGGGGUAUUUUGGGGUGCUCUGUGUUAUUUUUGGGUAUUUUGGGGUGCUCUGUGAUAUUUUUGGGUAUUUUGGGAUGCUCUGUGAUAUUUUUGGGAUGUUUUGGGCUGUUUUGGGACGCUCUCUGAUAUUUUUGGGUAUUUUGGGAUGCUCUGUGAUAUUUUUGGGUAUUUUGGGAUGCUCUGUGAUAUUUUUGGGUAUUUUGGGGUGCUGUGUGAUAUUUUUGGGUAUUUUGGGACGCUCUGUGAUAAUUUUGGGGUGUUUGGGGCUGAUUUCGGGCUCUGCCCCCCAGGUCCCCCCCCCGGGGGUCGCAGCCGCCCCCUGGGCCCGCAGGACCUGGCGCUGAUCGAGCGGGAGCUGAGCCGGGGCCUGCGGGGGGGGCACGACCCCCCGACCCCCCCCGGGGGCGACCCCGACGGCGGUGAGGGGGGGGGGGCUGGGGGGCUCCGGGGUGGGUUUUGGGGG
Taeniopygia guttata (zebra finch) is the source of this 3253-nucleotide long non-coding RNA. Lineage: Eukaryota; Metazoa; Chordata; Aves; Passeriformes; Estrildidae. The record is from Ensembl.